UCUUCAAAUUGUUUGAUUUUC
Caenorhabditis elegans is the source of this 21-nucleotide non-coding RNA. Lineage: Eukaryota; Metazoa; Nematoda; Chromadorea; Rhabditida; Rhabditidae. The record is from Ensembl.